This 363-nucleotide ribosomal RNA is filed under the name uncultured bacterium. RNAcentral's name for it is "bacterial SSU rRNA". It matches the Rfam family "Bacterial small subunit ribosomal RNA", at positions 546 to 909 of the family's 1533-position model. The record is from RNAcentral.
CGGAAUUACUGGGCGUAAAGCGUGCGCAGGCGGUUAUGUAAGACAGAUGUGAAAUCCCCGGGCUCAACCUGGGAACUGCAUUUGUGACUGCAUGGCUAGAGUACGGUAGAGGGGGAUGGAAUUCCGCGUGUAGCAGUGAAAUGCGUAGAUAUGCGGAGGAACACCGAUGGCGAAGGCAAUCCCCUGGACCUGUACUGACGCUCAUGCACGAAAGCGUGGGGAGCAAACAGGAUUAGAUACCCUGGUAGUCCACGCCCUAAACGAUGUCAACUGGUUGUUGGGAAUUAGUUUUCUCAGUAACGAAGCUAACGCGUGAAGUUGACCGCCUGGGGAGUACGGCCGCAAGGUUGAAACUCAAAUGAA